This 492-nucleotide ribosomal RNA is filed under the name uncultured bacterium. Its description in RNAcentral is "partial 16S ribosomal RNA". It matches the Rfam family "Bacterial small subunit ribosomal RNA", at positions 29 to 506 of the family's 1533-position model. The record is from RNAcentral.
AGUGAACGCUGGCGGUAGGCCUAACACAUGCAAGUCGAACGGCAGCACAGUAAGAGCUUGCUCUUACGGGUGGCGAGUGGCGGACGGGUGAGGAAUACAUCGGAAUCUACUUUUUCGUGGGGGAUAACGUAGGGAAACUUACGCUAAUACCGCAUACGACCUACGGGUGAAAGCAGGGGAUCUUCGGACCUUGCGCGAUUGAAUGAGCCGAUGUCGGAUUAGCUAGUUGGCGGGGUAAAGGCCCACCAAGGCGACGAUCCGUAGCUGGUCUGAGAGGAUGAUUAGCCCACCUGGAACUUAGACACGGUCCAGACCCCCACCGGGGGGAGGAGUUGGGGAUAUUUGGCCAUGGGCGGAAGCCUGGUCCCGCCAUUCCGCCUUGGUUGAGAAGGCCCUCCGGUUGGUAAACCCUUUUUUUUGGAAAGGAAAACAGGCGGGUAAAUCCCCCGUUUUCCGGCGGUUCCCAAAGAAUUAGCCCCCGCCUACCUUCGU